GCGCUGAUAAAUAUGUAGUUUUACUGGUUUAUCGCCGAAAAUACCUUCGAGUAAAUUGUGAAGUAAUUCUACAGCAUAUAGGAAGACUGACCUUAAAAAUCCCCUUAAAAGUUUACAAGGUCCCGUGGUGAGUGAAGAUUGGAAUUUAUUUUAAGCUCUAAUGUAUUGAGGACUAAAGUGGACCAUUUUAUUUUAAGCUCUAAUGUAUUGAGGACUAAAUUGGACCAUUUUAUUUUAAGCUCUAAUGUAUUGAGGUCUAAACUGGACCAUUUUAUUUUAAGCUCUAAUGUAUUGAGGACUAAAUUGGACCAUUUUAUUUUAAGCUCUAAUGUAGAGUCAAUAGGUUUAUUUCGAGAAUGAAGCAUGAAAAAUGAGCAAUGUCCUCACCCGGAUUCGAGCUUCAGACCACACGCUUGCCAGCCUUAUGUACUUCCAAUUACACUAUCGAGGCGCAUGAAGAAAAAAAAUAUUUUAUAGAGGAGCAGAGGAACCAGUCGUCAAAAUAAGGGUGGUGAAGAAUUAUCGUCGACUACAUUUUAGUUCGGAUAGAGCAGUAGAAUUACUAUAGAAAUUUUUGAACAAGGGAAAUCGCAGAAAUCUGCAGUGGGUUCCGGGAUUCGAACUCUGAACCUCCUGAUUGCUAGACGGCCGUGCUUCCGUUUACGCCACAAAAGCAAGGCGAUUUCAUUUCCUAUACACUCAGAAAGAAAAAAGCGAAAGCGAUAAUCUUUCAACGGAGCCAACCCUUCCGCUACUGAAUAGUGGGAUGCAUCAACCAAUAGGAUUGAGCAAAACAAACGCUCCUCUUUUGGAUAGUGGAGUAACGGCAAUGUUGGUUGGAGCACGAAGCUCUAGAUUAAAAAUCUCAAGCAUUGGCGUUGUACGCAUAGCUACGAACUGUCUUUUCAUCCACAACGUGGGAAAGAGUAGAACGUAAAAUAAUUGCGAUGGCAAGUACUGUAGCUAAAAUUUCUCGUUCCGUCCUAAAAACCUCAGCUGACAACAUCAAGACAAGAGCAGCUGCUACUAAAUUGCAGAAACGGCAAUGAAUGAAUAGAGAUCAGAGAUCUCUAUCUAAGCCAUUUGCUGGAUGUCUCACAAGUUAAAAGCAUAAAUGUGCAUAUGAAAAUUUCACAUGGUGUUUCAGAAUUCAUUACUUUUGAACAUCAUAUUGAAUUUUGACUAGCAUUCAAGCCUUAAGGAAUAAAUACUUUUUCAUUGUUUUAAU
Long non-coding RNA from Stegodyphus dumicola, 1228 nucleotides. NCBI's taxonomy places the organism in Eukaryota, Metazoa, Arthropoda, Arachnida, Araneae, Eresidae. The record is from RefSeq and is a predicted model, not a curated record.